This is a long non-coding RNA of Myotis davidii, 454 nucleotides long. RefSeq lists it as uncharacterized. The transcript is spliced from 2 exons. The record is from RefSeq and is a predicted model, not a curated record. NCBI's taxonomy places the organism in Eukaryota, Metazoa, Chordata, Mammalia, Chiroptera, Vespertilionidae.
UGGGAGGAGUCCAGGCAUCUGUAUAUUCUGUUAAGGUGCUCCGGGGAAUUUGAGCCACAGCCAAGCUUGAAAAGAACUGGAAAGGCUCAGUGUCUGCUCCUGGAUUUCUUGUUUGAAGAAAACAAAACUCUGAGGAACGCACUUGAGCGCCAUGGUGAAAGCAUAGGCCCACCAACGUUAACAGGUUGAACACACAUGAUUGCUUAUGUAUAGCAGCCAUCCUGGACCACGAAACCACCAAGAAUGAGGAUAUGUUUGUGGGAUAGAAGAGGAUAAAGACAGAAAGAGCCUGACAUCAUCUGGCUACUGUGAAGUUCUGGACUUCUCUUCCCCACAUGCCUUGGACAUGAAAAAAGAAUCCAUGUUUGAGUAAAAAUCACUGUUUGUCAGAUUUUCUGCUGCUUGCAGCUAAAUAAAAUGUUAACCGAUAAAGCUGCAUGUUAGAAACACUGAA